CACACACACACACACAUACAGGUAUGUAGAUCAACCAAUCAGAUUGCUUCUAAGCGGUCGGUCGGUCGACCUGUUAGAAAGAGCAGCCAAACACCCUUGUAAUCCCAAACUUCUUAACUAACAUCUGGAUAUAAAAAAUAACAGCAUUGGACAAUGUUAGUGGAAGUUAUAUACUUUAAGAUGGGGUGGUCAAGGCCGGAACAGAUUUAACCAUAGGACUUUCGGAUCUGGACUAACAACGGCGUAUAUUUACUGAGAAAGUAAGUUCGAUAUUUUUGUUAUUGUGGUUGCGGCGGUGGCGCGGGGUUUUGCUUUUGAUGGCGGGGCCUCUCUUUACACGGUUAGGACACUUUGGCAAGAAUACAGCGUGUCAGAUCGAUACACACACACACCUGUAUAUAUGCGUGUGUGUGUGUGUAAGGCCAGGUACUUAUUCUAUCGGUGUCUACUUUGCCGAACCGGUAAGUCACGGGGGGGACAUAAACGCACCUGCUAGAGAGUGGGAGGAAAAACACAAACACACAUGCCUAUAAAUCUAUCUAUCUAUCCGCUCGUUCCGAGUUCAAAUUCCGCCGAGGUCGACUUUGCCUUUCAUCCUUUCGGGGUCGAUAAAUAAAGUACCAGUUUCGCACUGGGUCGAUAUAAUCGACUUAAUCCCUUUGUCUGUCCUUGUUUGUCCCCUCUAUGUUUAGCCCCUUGUGGGCAAUAAAGAAAUAUAUAUAUAUAUAUAUAUAUAUAUAUAUAUAUAUAUCUGCAUGUUCUGAGUUCAAAUUCCGCCGAGGUCGACUCUGCCUUUCAUCCUUUCGGGGUCGAUAAAUAAAGUACCGGCUUCCCACUGGGGUCGAUGUAAUCGGCUUAAUCCCUUUGUCUGUCCAUGUUUCUCCCCUCUAUGUUUAGCCCCUUGUGGGCAGUAAAGAAAUAUAUAUAUAUCCGCUCAGUCGAAGUCGACCCUCGGUUACUCGUUGGAUCAGUGUCCUCCAGUCAGUUCUAUCCUAGGCCGCUUCUUUCAGAUUGCCUAUGUCCAUUCCGGUAUCACUCUUGAUGGUGUCAAGCCAGCGGGUUCUUGGUUGGCCUCUUCCUCUCUUGCCACUGACCAUUCCGAGCAUGAUGUCCUUCUCCAGGGAUUUUCUCCGCAUAAUAUGACCGAAAUAUCCCAAUCUAUGCUCGGUGAUCCUAGCCUCCAGCGACAUAUAUAUAUACUUUAUAUAUAUUACUCUACCCCUGGUAUUUGAGUACUCUUUUUUCCACCUUAUUUCACAUUUAUGUGUUUACUCCGGUAUAUAUAUAUAUAUAUAUAUAUAUAUAUAUAUAUAUGUAUGUAUGUAUGUAUGUAUGUAUAUAUAUAUAUAUAUAUAUAUAUAUAUAUAUAUUAUUAUGUAUGUAUGUAUGUAUUAUUAUAUAUAUAUAUAUAUAUAUAUAUAUAUAUAUAUUUCAAAAUAGAAAAUUACCCUUUAACAGGUAAUUUUUACAUGCUAGAAAUAGCAGCCAACACGGCCAAAAGUCACAGUUUUAUAGCAAAUUUCGAAGUAAAUGAAAAAUAAAAACUUUUACCUUGUUAUUUAACGAUUAAAUAACAAGGUAAAAUUUUUUGUUCUUCAUUUACUUCGAAAUUUGCUAUAAAUAUGUGGCUUUUGGCCGUGUUGGCUACUAUUUCUAGCAUGUAAAAAUUACCUGUUAAUGGGUAAUUUUCUAUUUUGAAAUAUAUGUAUAUAUAUAUAUAUAUAUAUAUAUAUAUAUAUAUAUAUAUAUAUACAUACAUACAUACAUACAUAUAUAUAUAUAUAUAUAUAUAUAUAUAUAUAUAUAUAUAUAUAUAUAUAUAUAUAUAUAUACAUACUCUCUUUUCUCUCUUUACUCUUUUACUUGUUUCAGUCAUUUGACUGCGGCCAUGCUGGACCACCGCCUUUAGUCGAGCAAAUCGACCCCAGGACUUAUUCUUUGUAAGCCCAGUACUUAUUCUAUCGGUCUCUUUUGCCGAACCGCUAAGUGACGAGGACGUAAACACACCAGCAUCGGUUGUCAAGCAAUGCUAGGGAGACAAACACACACACACACACACAUAUACAUAUUUAUAUAUACGACAGGCUUCUUUCAGUUUCCGUCUACCAAAUCCACUCACAAGGUUUUGGUCGGCCUGAGGCUAUAGUAGAAGACAUUUGCCCAAGGUGCCACGCAGUAGGACUGAACCCGGAACCAUGUGGUUGGUAAGCAAGCUACUUACCACACAGCCAGAUACAUAUACAUAUAUAAAGAUACAAAUACACACACACACACACAUGUGUUUGUGUGUAUGUAUGUUAAGUGAUAGGUGAUAUAAACAAUUUAGUUCAAUUUUUUAAAAAUACACUUUUCACUAUCCACCUUCACAACCAGAAAGGAAGAAGGAUAGAAAGAAGAACUGGCAUCGAUUUGUUCAACUAAUCUCUUCAAAGUGGUGCCCCAGCAUGGCCACAACUGCAUGAGUCAAACAAGGAAAGGAUACAAGAUAAAAAUAAACAAACAUACAUAAGGAUAUAGACAAAUAAAAAAAAACCCACCAACCGAAGUGUUUACAAAAGCGAUUUGAAGCCUGAGAAAUUGUUUGGCUGCACUUAUCGAAGAAGUUCUGAUAAGGUUUAUCAAGGGGAAAGAGAGAGAGAGACGUGUGUGUGUGUGUGUAUGUGUGUGUGUGUGUGUGUGUAUAUGUGUGCGUGUGCACGUGUGUGUCUGCACGUACGCUUGUCUCUCUUUAACUCUUUAUCUAUUACUGCGGCCAUGCUGGGGCACCGCCUUGCAGAAUUUUUUAUCCGAAUGAACCGAUUCUAGUUUUUGUUUUUAUCAUUUUUUAAAAGCCUAGGCGCAGGAGUGGCUGUGUGGUAAGUAGCUUGCUUACCAACCACAUGGUUCCGGGUUCAGUCCCACUGCGUGACACCUUGGGCAAGUGUCUUCUACUAUAGCCCCGGGCUGACCAAUGCCUUCUGAGUGGAUUUGGUAGACGGAAACUGAAAGAAGCCCGUCGUAUAUAUGUAUGUAUAUAUAUAUAUAUAUAUAUAUAUAUAUAUAUAUAUAUAUAUAUAUGCAUGCGUGUGUAUAUAUAUGUGUGGUAAGUAGCUUGCUUACCAACCACAUGAUUCUGGGUUCAAUCCCACUGCGUGGCAUCUUGGGAAAGUGUCUUCUACUAUAGCCUCGGGCCGACCACACCUUUGUGAGUGGAUUUAGUAGACGGAAACUGAAAGAAGCCCGUCGUAUAUAUGUAUAUAUAUAUAUAUAUAUAUAUAUAUAUAUAUAUAUAUAUAUAUAUAUAUAUAUAUAUAUAUGUGUAUGUAUUUGUGUGUCUGUGUUUGUCCCCCUAGCAUUGCUUGACAACCGAUGCUGGUGUGUUUACGUCCCCGUAACUUAGCGGUUCUGCAAAAAGGACUCCGAUAGAAUAAGUACUGGGCUUACAAAAGAAUAAGUCCUGGGAUCGAGUUGCUCGACUAAAGGCGGUGCUCCAGCAUGGCCGCAGUCAAAUGACUGAAACAAGUAAAAGAGACCGAUAGAAUAAGUACUGGGCUUACAAAGAAUAAGUCCCAGGGAUCGAUUUGCUCGACUAAAGGCGGUGCUCCAGCAUGGCCGCAGUCAAGUGACUGAAACAAGUAAAAGAGACUGCUACGUACUUACUCUGUCGGUUACCUUUUAGCCGAACAGCUAAGUUACUGGGGCGUAAACACACCAACGUCGGUUGUGAAAUUAUGUCGGUGGUGGUGGUGGUGGUGGUGGUGGUAUAUAUACGAGGGUCUUCUUUCAGUUUCCGUAUACCAAAUCCACUCGCAAGACUUUGGUCAGCCCGAGGCUACUUCUCGAAGGUGGCACGCAGUGGGAUCGAACUCGGAACCAUGUGGUUGGGAAGCAAGCGUCUUAUUACAAAACCCACAACUGCACCUAUGCGUGUAUCAGGAGCAUACGUAAAAGAGAUAAGGCCAGAAUGGAGCAACAUGCUGGUUAUUUUUGGGAAGCACUCCGUCGGUUACGACGACGAGGGUUCCGGUUGAUCCGAAUCAACGGAACAGCCUGCUCGUGAAAUUAACGUGUAAGUGGCUGAGCACUCCACAGACACGUGUACCUUUAACGUAGUUCUCGGGGAUAUUCAGCGUGACACAGAGAGUGACAAGGCCGGCCCCUUGAAAUACAGGUACAACAGAAACAGGAAGAAAGAGUGAGAGAAAGUUGUGGUGAAAGAGUACAGCAGGGAUCACCACCAUCCCUGCCGGAGCCUCCACAGACACGUGCACCCUUAACGUAGUUCUCGGGGAUAUUCAGCGUGACACAGAGAGUGACAAGGCCGGCCCCUUGAAAUACAGGUACAACGGAAACAGGAAGUAAGGGUGAGAGAAAGUUGUGGUGAAAGAGUACAGCAGGGAUCACCACCAUCCCUGCCGGAGCCUCCACAGACACGUGCACCCUUAACGUAGUUCUCGGGGAUAUUCAGCGUGACACAGAGAGUGACAAGGCCGGCCCCUUUGAAAUACAGGUACAACAGAAACAGGAAGUAAGAGUGAGAGAAAGUUGUGGUGAAAGAGUACAGCAGGGAUCACCACCAUCCCUGCCGGAGCCUCCACAGACACGUGCACCCUUAACGUAGUUCUCGGGGAUAUUCAGCGUGACACAGAGAGUGACAAGGCCGGCCCCUUGAAAUACAGGUACAACGGAAACAGGAAGUAAGGGUGAGAGAAAGUUGUGGUGAAAGAGUACAGCAGGGAUCACCACCAUCCCUGCCGGAGCCUCCACAGACACGUGCACCCUUAACGUAGUUCUCGGGGAUAUUCAGCGUGACACAGAGAGUGACAAGGCCGGCCCCUUUGAAAUACAGGUACAACAGAAACAGGAAGUAAGAGUGAGAGAAAGUUGUGGUGAAAGAGUACAGCAGGGAUCACCACCAUCCCCUGCCGGAGCCUCCACAGACACGUGCACCCUUAACGUAGUUCUCGGGGAUAUUCAGCGUGACACAGAGAGUGACAAGGCCGGCCCCUUUGAAAUACAGGUACAACAGAAACAGGAAGUAAGAGUGAGAGAAAGUUGUGGUGAAAGAGUACAGCAGGGAUCACCACCAUCCCUGCCGGAGCCUCCACAGACACGUGCACCCUUAACGUAGUUCUCGGGGAUAUUCAGCGUGACACAGAGAGUGACAAGGCCGGCCCCUUGAAAUACAGGUACCACAGAAACAGGAAGUAAGAGUGAGAGAAAGUUGUGGUGAAAGAGUACAGCAGGGAUCACCACCAUCCCCUGCCGGAGCCUCGUGGAGCUUUAGGUGUUUUCGCUCAAUAAACACUCACAACGCCCGGUCUGGGAAUCGAAACCGCGAUUCUAUGACCGCGAGUCCGCUGCCCUAACCACUGGGCCAUUGCGCCUCCACUUGCUGGUUAUAGUGACGAGCAAACCACAGCCACCAGCUUUUACCCUGGGUGGAGGAAGUUUUGACCAAGAGGAUGCCUUCAGGUUUCUUGACCAAGGACGGCAGAUCUGGAAAAGAAAUCUACCCAUUCAUUUUUACUUGUUUCGGUCAUUUUGACUGCGGCCAUGCUGGAGCACCGCCUUUAGUCGAGCAAAUCGAUCGACCCCAUGACCCCAUUGUUUGUAAGCUUAGUACUUAAUACUUAUUCAUGUUAGAGCACCGCCUUCAGUCGAACAAAUCGACUCCAGGACUUAUUCUUUGUAAGCCUAGUACUUAUUCUAUCGGUCUCUUUUGCCGAACCGCUAAGUUACAGGAACGUAAACACACUAGCAUCGGUCGUCAAGUGAUGGUGGGGGGACAAACACGGACACCCAAACUCAACACACACACACACACACACACACACACACACAUACACACACACACACACACACACAGACAGACACACAUAUAUAUAUAUAUUUCUUUACUACCCACAAGGGGCUACACACAAAGGGGACAAACAAGGACAGACAAAGGGAUUAAGUCGAUUACAUCGACCCCAGUGCGUAACUGGUACUUAAUUUAUCGACCCCGAAAGGAGGAAAGGCAAAGUCAGCCUCGGCGGAAUUUGAACUCAGAACAUAACAGCAGACGAAAUACCUAUUUAUUUACUACCCACAAGGGGCUAAACACAGAGGGGAAAAACAAGGACAGACAAAGGGAUUAAGUCGAUUACAUCGACCCCAGUGCGUAACUGGUACUUAAUUCAUCGACCCCGAAAGGAUGAAAGGCGAAGUCAACCUCGUCGGAAUUUGAACUCAGAACGUAACGGCAGACAAAAUACCCAUUUCUUUACUACCCACAAGGGGCUAAACACAAAGGGGACAAACAAGGACAGACAAAGGGAUUAAGUCGAUUACAUCGACCCCAGUGCGUAACUGGUACUUAAUUCAUCGACCCCGAAAGGCUGAAAGGCAAAGUCAACCUCGGCGGAAUUUGAACUCAGAACAUAACGGCAGACGAAAUACGGCUACGCAUUUCGCCCGGGGUGUUAACGUUUCUGCCAGCUGACGGGCUUCUUUCAGUUUCCAUCUACCAAAUACACUCACAAGGCAUUGGUCGGCCUGAGGCUUAUAGUAGAAGACACAUGCCCAGGGUGACACGCAGUGGGACUGAACCCGGAACCAUGUGGUUGGUUAGCAAGCCACUUACCACACAUUUCUCCGCAUAAUAUGACCGAAAUAUGCCAAUCUAUGCUUGGUGAUCCUAGCUUCUAGCGACAUAUAUCUCUUUUACUCUUUUACUCUUUUAUUUGUUUCAGUCAUUUGACGGUGGCCAUGCUGGAGCACCGCCUUUAGUCGAGCAAAUCGACACCGGGACUUAUUCUUUUGUAAGCCCAGUACUUAUUCUAUCGGAUCUCUUUUGCCGAACCGCUAAGUGACGGGGACGUAAACACACCAGCACCGGUUGUCAAGCAAUGCUAGGGGGACAAACACAGACACAGAAACACACACAUACAUAUACAUAUAUACGACGGGCUUCGUUCAGUUUCCGUCUGCCAAAUACACUCACAAGUCAUUGGUCGGCCUGCGGCUAUAGCAGAAGACACUUGCCCAAGGUGACACGCAGUGGGACUGAACCCGGAACCAUGUGGCUGGUUAGCAAGCCACUUACCACACAGCCACUCCUGAGCCUAAGACGUCACAAAAACUGUUACUCAGAGUUUCACGUUCCCGUUCGUCGAACAGUUUUUUUUUUUCAUAUUACGAACAACUAUCUGCAUUCGAACACACUUAUAAAAGCCAUGUUGUCAAGGUCACCACUUAGGAGAGAGAUUGCUCUGUUGUAUCACUUUAUUGAUAUCUCUAAAGAGAGACAGGGUGACGGGGUGCGGUUGCGGGACAACCCGACUGUUAGGGGUGUUAAUGAGGAUGAUGGUGGUGGAGGUGGUGGUGGUGGUGGUGGUGGUGGUAGUGGUGGUAGUGGUAGUGGUGGUGUGUUGGUGGUUGUGGUGGUGGUGGUGGUGGUAGUGGAUGGUGGUAGUGGUGGUGGUGGUGGUGGUGGUGGUGUGUUGCUGGUUGUGGUGGUGGUGGUGAUGGUGUGUUGGUGGUUUUUGUGGUAGUGGUGGUGGUGGUGGUAGUGGUGGUGGUAGUGGUGGUGGUGGUGGUGGUGGUGGUGGUGUUUAUUCUGUUGAGUCAAUAAGCGGUCUUUUGUCUCUAUUGUAUCGAUGGUAAGGUGUGCCGGUGGUGACAAUAGUAGCUGUUGUGGUGGUGGUUGGUGGUGGUGGUGGUGGUGAUUGGUGGUAGUGGGUGGUGGUGGUGGUGGUGGUGGUGGUGGUGGAAAGAGGGUCGUGUGUGUGUGACGGUGGUUUAGCAGUUGCAGAGAUAUGGCUCUUGAGGGAUGUCGGCGACCGAAUUGGCGGCGGUGAUGCAGGUAGUGUUGGUGGUGGUGGUGGUGGUAGUGGUGGUAGUGGUGGUGGUAGUGGAUGGUGGUAGUGGUAGUGGUGGUGGUGGUGGUGGUAAUAGUAGUAGUAGUGGUGGUGGUAGUGGUAGUGGUGGUAGUUGUUGUAGUGGUGGUAGUGGUGGUGGUGGUAGUGGUAGUGGUGGUAUUGGUGGUAGUGGUGGUAGCUGUGCUGCUGAUUGUGAUGGUGGUGGUGGAGGUGGUAGUGGUGGUGGUAGUGGUAGUGGUGGUAGUGGUGAUAGUGGUAGUGGUAGUGGUAGUGGUAGUGGUAGUGGUGGUAGCUGUGCUGUUGAUAGUGAUGGUGAUAGUGGUGUUGGCGGUGGUAGUGGUGGUGGUGCUGGUGGUGUGGUGUUGCACUUGACGAGCAAUGGUGGCUGUGGUUACGAUGGUGGUGGGGGGGGCUAGCUGCGUUAUUGGUGUGUGUAUUGCCGUUGGUGGUUGUUUCGAUGAUGAUGAUGAUGAUAAUGACGGUGGUGGUGGUGGUGGUGGUGAAUUACUUUUUCACCUAUUUUUGUUUUUGUUUUUUUUGUGUCUCCCAUUCUAAAACUGGUGGUCGGAUCGAUGUUGAAGGUGAUCCCCUCGGUGUGGUAUGAAGGAACCGACAAACAUACCACCCGCACCUCAACCCUCGAUAUCUCCCUCCAUAUCCCCAUCCAUGUCCCCACCUCAUACCCCACAAACCCUCGGUACUACUAGCGAACAGUGGUCCCGGUGCGCGCACUCGCGCUUCCGUGCUACCUAGUCGUAAUUAGUCGAUCCUAAAUAGUUUUUUAAACUAAGUAAAUAAAUUAUUUUUAUAAGCAAACUAAGGUUAGAGUUAAAAAAUUAGGUUUAGGGUUUAAAAAUUAGGUUUAGGGUUAGGGUUAGGGUUAAAAAAUUAGGUUUAGGGUUAGGGUUAAAAAAUUAGGUUUAGGGUUUAGGUUUAGGGUUUAAAAAUUAGGUUUAGGUUUAGGGUUAAAAAAUUAGGUUUAGGGUUAGGGUUAAAAAAUUAGGUUUAGGUUUAGGGUUAAAAUAUUAGGUUUAGGGUUAGGGUUAAAAAAUUAGGUUUAGGUUUAGGGUUAAAAUAUUAGGUUUAGGGUUAGGGUUAAAAAAUUAGGUUUAGGUUUAGGGUUAAAAUAUUAGGUUUAGGGUUAGGGUUAAAAAAUUAGGUUUAGGUUUAGGGUUAAAAUAUUAGGUUUAGGGUUAGGGUUAAAAAAUUAGGUUUAGGUUUAGGGUUAAAAUAUUAGGUUUAGGGUUAGGGUUAAAAAAUUAGGUUUAGGUUUAGGGUUAAAAUAUUAGGUUUAGGGUUAGGGUUAAAAAAUUAGGUUUAGGUUUAGGGUUAAAAUAUUAGGUUUAGGGUUAGGGUUAAAAAAUUAGGUUUAGGUUUAGGGUUAAAAUAUUAGGUUUAGGGUUAGGGUUAAAAAAUUAGGUUUAGGUUUAGGGUUAAAAUAUUAGGUUUAGGGUUAGGGUUAAAAAAUUAGGUUUAGGUUUAGGGUUAAAAUAUUAGUUUUAGGGUUAGGGUUAAAAAAUUAGGUUUAGGUUUAGGGUUAAAAUAUUAGGUUUAGGGUUAGGGUUAAAAAAUUAGGUUUAGGUUUAGGGUUAAAAUAUUAGGUUUAGGGUUAGGGUUAAAAAAUUAGGUUUAGGUUUAGGGUUAAAAAAUUAGGUUUAGGGUUAGGGUUAAAAAAUUAGGUUUAGGUUUAGGGUUAAAAUAUUAGGUUUAGGGUUAGGGUUAAAAAAUUAGGUUUAGGGCUAGGGUUAAAAAAAUUAGGUUUAGGGUUAGGGUUAAAAAGUUGCUGUAGGAUCGACUACUUACGACUAGCUAGCGCGGAUGCGCGAGUGCGAGUUUGCGCUCACCGGGAGCACUGUUCGCUAGCAGUAUCCAAACCCCUCCCCUACCUUUACUUGUCAACAAAGAGCGUAGAUGGACCGAGUCGGGUCGUCGUCACCUCCGCCGCCGUCCAAAGCGACGGCGGCGGAGGUUGACUUGCUGGUUGCCUGGCUGGUUGGCUGGUUGUCCCGACCUCUGUGACACGACCGUGUGUCUCUGAAAGCCAGUGACUCGUGUGUAUGUAUGUGUGUGUGUGUGUGUGUGUGUGUGUGUGUCUAUACAUGUGCUAUAUUUUCAUACUACAAGGAAAUAAACCAAGUAUAUACAGCUUUGACGUGAGCGUAUCUACCUGUGUGAAUAUAUAUACAUAGGUAGGUAGAUACAGGUAAAUUUAGUUGGUUGACACACAUAUUCGGAGUGAAUGCUGUCAUAACCUCGAAAUAAACGAUCGAUGCUACUGUUUGUAGUUACACAGUUCGUCGAUUGGCCCUGGACACCGCGAUACACCUGUAACGUUUGGAAACGUUUGUAAAAAAAUCCUUCGCGUAAACACCUGACAAGUUGUGUAUCUGAUUUGUGAAGAAAGGCGCGGAUCUAAAGAAUUGAAUGCAGGUAUAGUCGUUGUUUGUUUGUUUUUGUUAUACGUAUAUACAUAUAUAAACACAGAUAGAUGGAUAGAUAGAUAGAUAGAUAGAUAGAUAGAUAGAUAGAUAGAUAGAUAGAUAGAUAGAUAGACAGAUAGAUAGAUAGAUAGAUAGAUAGAUAGAUAGAUAGAGAUAGAUAGAUAAGUUUCUUUAUUGGCCACACAGGGCUGCACACAGAUGGGACAAGUUACAAGGUAGAGCUUUUCUUUUGGGGGAUGAAAAAAAGGGGGUAGCGUUAGAUAGAUAGAUAGAUAGAUAGAUAGAUAGACAGACAGACAGACAGACAGGUAGGUAGGUAGGUAGGUAGAUAGAUAGACAGGUAGGUAGGUAGGUAAGUAUGUAGGUAUAUAUGUUUCUUUAUUAGCCACACAGGGCUGCUGUAGGUAGGUAGGUAGGUAGAGGUAGAUAGAUAGACAGACAGACAGGUAGGUAGGUAGGUAGGUAGGUAGAUAGAUAGAUAGAUAGAUAGAUAGAUAGAUAGAUAGAUAGAUAGAUAGGCAGAUAAAUAGAUAGGUACGUAGGUAGAUAGAUAGAUAGAUAGAUAGAUAGAUAGAUAGAUAGAUAGAUAGAUAGAUAGAUAGAUAUACGUAUACAAAUGACAACAUAAGUGUUCUUAAAUGAAAGGUACGAGGUUUACCUGAAUUAUACAGACAUAUUUUUAUUUAUACAUACAUAUAUGUAAAUAUAAAAACACACACACGUGUGUGUCUGUGUGUAAAUAUGCAUGUGUACAUGUAUAUGCAUAUACAUACAUACAUAUAUAUAAUAAUAUGAAUUACAAAUAUAUGCAUAUAUACACACCUACAUAUGUAUAUAUGGGUACAGGACAUCAAAAAAAAAAACGUUGAACACAAUGAGAAACGAAAACAUAAAAACAAAAACAUGGAAUCGAACUUUUUUCAAACGAAAAAACAAACAAAUAGGGAAGCAAGACAUACGAUACAAGGAAUAUUCCGACACAAGGAAUAUUCCGACACAAGGAAUAUUCCGACACAAGGAAUAUUCCGACACAAGGAAUAUUCCCCUUCUCCAAACAGACUCACAAACACAUACAUACAUACAUUCAUAUAUACAUACAUACAUACAUACAUACAUACAUACAUACAUAUAUAUACACACAUAUAUAUAUAUAUAUGCGUGUAUAAAACAUAAGCAUGUGUUUCUACGUAUAAAUAUAUGUGUAUCAAUAUACACACGCACGCACGCACACUCAUGUAUACACACACACACACACACAUAUACAUAUACACAUACACACACACACACACACAUACAUAUAUAUAUAUAUAUAUAUUUAUUAUAUAGAAGGAGCUUCUUGAGUACCUUAUUUACUGUGGUUAACCCCGAAUCAACCCGGGACCUACAUAUAUAUAUAUAUAUAUAUAUAUAUAUAUAUAUAUAUAAAUAAAUAUAUAUACAUACAUACAUAUACAUACAUUUAUAUAUAUAUACAUACAUAUAUAUAUAUAUAUAUAUAUAUAUAUAUAUAUAUAUAUAUAUAUAUAUAUAUACCGUAUAUACAUACAUACAUAUAUAUACAUACAUUUAUAUAUACAUAUAUACGACAGGCUUCUUUCACUUUCCGUCUACUAAAUCCACUCAGAACAUUUCGGCUGGUCCGAGGCUACAGUAGAAGACACCUGCCGAAGGUGCCACGCAGUGGGACUGAACCCGGAACCAUAUGGUUGGUAAGCGAGCUUCUUACCAAACAGCUACAUCCACACAUCUACUCUAAUGUGCCCACUCCUCAUCAACUUUGUUUCCUCAUAACUUCCAGAAAAAUGGAUAUUUUCAAAUUGAAAUUUUCUGCAAAUGCGAUUUAGAGGAUAUAGAUUAGGAUUAUGUCAGAAGUUAAUAUAUAACGCAAAUUGUUGAGCACACACGUAUACAAACUGACACACAUCUGAUAUAUCUAGAAAAGGAAACUUCAACUGCCAAGGAUAAAGUGAUAUAGGCGCAGGAGUGGCUGUGUGGUAUGUAGCUUGCUUACCAACCACAUGGUUCCGGGUUCAGUCCCACUGCGUGGCAUCUUGGGCAAGUGUCUUCUGCUAUAGCCCUGGGCCGACCAAUACCUUGUGAGUGGAUUCGGUAGAUGGAAACUGAAAGAAGCCUGUCGUAUAUAUGUAUAAUAUAUAUGUACGUGUGUGUUUGUGUGUCUGUGUUUGUCCCCCUAGCAUUGCUUGACAACCGAUGCUGGUGUGUUUACGUCCCCGUCACUUAGCGGUUCGGCAAAAGAGAUCGAUAGAAUAAGUACUGGGCUUACAAAGAAUAAGUCCCGUGGUCGAUUUGCUCGACUAAAGGCGGUGCUCCAGCAUGGCCGCAGUCAAAUGACUGAAACAAGUAAAAGAGUAAAAGAGAGAAGUUCUGAAUAAAAAUCCUCCACCAAAUCUUAGUCACAAUUUAUGUUCCUAACACUAGCUGAAUGAUAAUUAAGUUAUUUUAGUAAAUUCUUUGUUAUAUUUAAAAUAACUGGAAGAAACACAAAGCAUCUCAAAAUAAAUAUGGUAACAAAAGGGUUAAGAAGAGAAAUAAUCAGCAGAAUACAUGAGAGAAGGAGACCUCAAUGUGGUCACUCUAUAUGCUAGAAAUAAUAGCCUAAAUUUCCUUCGAUCCACACCCUUCCAACUGCUUCUAAUGUCCAUCUGCCCAAAUGUAGAGGUGUUUUUAACCCUUUCGAUACCAAUCCGGCUGAAACUGCCUCUGGCUCUGUAGAACAAAUGUCUUGUUUUCAUAAAUUUUGAAUUAAAACCUUCCACCAAACCUUAGUCACAAUUUAUGCUCCUAACACUAUCUGAAUGAUAACUAAAUUAUUUUACUAAAUUCUUUGUUAUAUUUAAAGUAAUUGAAAGAAACACAGCAUCUCAAAAGAAAUAUGGUAACAAAAGGGUUAGAAUAUAAUAGAGAAACAAUUCUUAACCCUUUUCAUACCAAUCUGACUGAAACCACCUCUGGCUCUGUAGUACAAAUGUCUUGUUUUCAAAAGUUCUGAAUUAAAAUCUUCCACCAAACCUUAGUCAUAAUUUAUGUUCCUAACACUAGCUGAAUGAUAACUAAGUUAUUUUACUAAAAUUCUUUGUUAUAUUUAAAAUUGAUUGAAAGAAACACAGAGCAUCUCAAAAUAAAUGCAGUAACGAAAGAUUCCAGUAUAAUCGUAAUGUGCUUCACCUGAAAGGUAUUUUUACAAAAUUUCAUUACAAAAGUAUUCAUUUUUCUGAAAGUUAUGAGGAAAAAAAGUUAUGGUUCUGGGUUCAGUCCCACUUCAUGACACCUUGGGCAAGUGUCUUCUACUACAGCCUCAGGAUGACCAAAUCCUUACGAAUUAAUUUGAUAAGUUAUGGGGAUGUAAACAAAACAACACAGACACAAAGAGACACCUUCUCAACCACAUGGUUCCGGGUUCAGUCCCACUGCGUGACACCUUGGGCAAGUGUCUUCUACUAUAGCCUCGGGCCGACCAAAGCCUUGUGAGUGGAUUUAGCAGACGGAAACUGAAAGAAGCCCGUCGUAUAUAUACAUGUAUGUGUAAGUGUGUGUGUGUGUGUGUGUGUGUGUGUGUGCAUGCAUAUGUGUGUGUUUAUGUAUCAGUGUUUGUUCCCCACCACCAUCGCUUAACAACCAACGUUGGUGUGUUUAUGACCCCGUGACUUUGCAGUUCAGCAAAAGAGACCGAUAGAAUAAGUCCUAGGCUUACAAAGAAUAAGUCCUGGGCUCGAUUUGUUCGACGAAAAGGUGGUGCUCCAGCAUGGCCACGGUCAAAUUACUGUAAAAAAUAAAAGAACACCAUUUCUCCAAAACCUGAACUGGAUAAAGUUUCCAGAAAAAUCCUUUUUGUUUCCUAAUGAGGAUAUUAAUUAAUUUUAUUGCAUUUGUUUUACACUUUUUAUAUUUUUAUGAUUGUUUUUUCCAAAGAAACAGAUCCAAUAAACCUUUUAAAUUCAAAGAAUCAAUGAUUUUUCUUCUCUUCAAAUCAAGAGGGUGGCAUCAUCGUCAUCAGCACCACCACCACCGCCUUCAUCAUUAUCAUCACCAUCAUCAUCAUCAUCAUCACUAUCAUCACCAUCAUUGCCAUCAUCAUCACCAUCAUCAUUGUCAUUACCACCACCACUACCACCAUCAUCAUCAUCAUCAUCAUCAUUGCCAUCAUCACCAUCAUCAUCGCUGUCAUCAUCAUCAUCAUCAUCACCAUCAUUGCUAUCAUCAUCACCACCACUAUCAUCAUCAUCAUCAUCAUCAUCAUCAUCAUCACUAUCAUCACCAUCAUUGUCAUCACCACCACCACUACCACCAUCAUCAUCAUCAUCAUCAUCAUCAUCAUCAUCAACAUCAUCAUCAUCAUCAUCAUCAUCGCUAUCAUCACCAUCAUCAUCACCAUCAUCAUCACCAUCAUCAUCAUCAUAAUCAUCAUCACCAUCAUCAUCAUCAUAAUCAUCAUCAUCAUCACUAUCCUCACCAUCAUUGCCAUCACCAUCAUCAUCGUCAUCAUGAUUGCUAUCCUCACCAUCAUUGCCACCAUCAUCACCACCAUAAUCACCAUCACCAUCAUCAUCACCAUCAUCGUCAGCCUCACCAUCAUCAUCAUCAUCAUCGUUGUCAUCUAACGUCCUCCUUCCAUGCUGGCAUGGGUUGGAUUGUUUGACAGGAGCUGGCCAGGUAGGAGCCUGCGCCAUGCUUCUGUUUCGGUUUAGGCAUGGUUUUUACAGCUGGAUACCCUUCUUAACAGUGACCACCCCACAGACUGGACUAUGUGCUUUUUACAUAACAUCAGCACAGGUGAGGUCAGUUUUGGCAGGGUUUUUACAGAUGGAUGCCCUUCCAAAUGGCACCCACAUUACAGCAUGGGCCUCACGGAGGCACUGAUAGGUGGUAGGGGCCUUUGGCAAUAUACCGUGCCCGUGUAGACCUGACAAGCCAAAUGAGAUCAUAGUCAUGGCCAAUGCUGGUGUCAGUCAAUGGCACCCAUGCCAGUGGCACGUAAAAAGCGCCCACUACACUCUUGGAGUGGCUGGCAUUAGGAAGGGCAACCAAGUGUAGAAACCACGCCAAAUCAGAUCAGAACCUGGAGCAGCUCCUCGACUUACCAGUUCUCGAUCAAACCGUCCAACCCAUGCCAGCACGGAAAGCGGACGUGAAAUGAUGAUGGUGAUGGUAAUCGGUUAAAAAGGCGGCGAGCUGGCAGAAACGUUAGCAUACCGGGUGAAAUGCUUAGCGGUAUUUCGUCUGCGUUACGUUGUGAGUUCAAAUUCCACCAAGGUCGACUUUGCCUGUCAUCCUUUCAGGGUCGAUAAAUUAAGUACCAGUUAUGCACUGGGGUUGAUGUAAUCGACUUAAUACCUAUGUCUGUCCUUGUUUGUCCCCUCAGUGUUUAGCCCCUUGUGGGUAGUAAAGCUUAUAGGUAUUUCGUCUGCGUUACGUUCUGAGUUCAAAUUCCACCGAGGUCGACUUUGCCUUUCAUCCUUUCGGGGUCAAUAAAUUAAGUACCAGUUACGCACUGGAGUCGACGUAAUCGACUUAAUACCUAUGUCUGUCCUUGUUUGUCCCCUCUGUGUUUAGCCCCUUGUGGGUUGUAAAGAAAUAGGUAUUUCGUCUGUCUUUACGUUCUGAGUUCAAAUUCCGCCGAGGUCGACUUUGCCUUUCAUCCUUUCGGUGUCGAUAAAUUAAGUACCAGUUACGCACUGGAGUCGACGUAAUCGACUUAAUACCUAUGUCUGUCCUUGUUUGUCCCCUCUGUGUUUAGCCCCUUGUGGGUAAUAAAGAAAUAGGUAAUUGGUUAAAAAUGUCCCCCAAACCCUGGCCUAAACCAUGCAAGAAUGAAACAAAAGAAAGAAACAAUUAGCAAAUGAAUACCUAACAUUUAUAUUACAUGUUGAAUCGUUUAUUAAUUACUUGUAUAGUAGCUCUGACUUAAUUGCUCUGAAUUAAUUACUCCUCAUUAUCAAUCCGCGCAUUGUUAUGCAAAUCAGACAAACCUGUUUAGGAGAGUCUGCCUGUUGUUCUUUUCACUUUGUGUCUGGUGACAUGUAAAGCUUCCAAACUCUCUCUCUGCUUCUCUCUGUCUUUCCUCAUCUUUUGUUCUUUCUCUCUUUCUCUCUCUCUCCCCCCCCACUCUCUCUCUCUCUCUCUCUCUUUCUCUCCCUCCAUGCUCGGAAUGAGACAAUUUGGCACAGCUGUUUUAGAUGCAGACGAUGAGACAAGCUGAUAGACCUGUUUGAGCAGGCAACAGUGCAUUCUUUGGUGGUGGAACACACUCACACGCACCAGGCUUGCAGAAAUAUGCAUUUACAGAUAGAAAGUGUGUGUUUGAGAGAGAAAGGGAGAGAGAGACAUGAAUUAUUAAUUGAACAUAAUUGACAUAAAUACUUUCUCUCUCCUCACACUCAUGAAGAGAAACAUGCUCACAGAGAGAGAGAGAGAGAGAGAGAGAGAGAGAGAGAGAGAGAUAGAUAUAGAAGGAAAGAGGCACAGAGAGAGAGAGGGAGAGACAGAGAGGGAAGGAGAGAGAGAGAGGGAGUCAGACAGACAAAGACAGUGAGGGAGUCAGAGGGAGAGAAAUGGAAGGAGAGAGAGAGGAGUCAGACAGAGAGAGAGAGAGGAGUCAGACAGAGAGAGAGAGAGGAGUCAGACAGAGAGAGAGAGAGGAGUCAGACAGAGAGAGAGAGAGAGAGGGAGAGUCAGAGAGGGAGUCAGACAGACAAAGAGACCGAUAGAAUAAGUACUGGGCUUACAAAAGAAUAAGUCCCGGGGUCGAUUUGCUCGAUUAAAGGCGGUGCUCCAGCAUGGCCGCAGUCAAAAUGACUGAAACAAGUAAAAGAGUAAAGAGAGAACACUUGGGAUCGAUGUACCUAACUUACCCCACCUUGCUGGUCUUGUGCCAAAAUUUGACACCAAUUUUUUAGUGUUGCUAUAUUCAUUGUAAAGUAAAUAUGUUUUUUUUGUUUCUGUUCUAGGUCUUCUUCAUGGCUACGGAACUCUGAUGGCACUGGUCCACAUUGGAUAAAGUAAAAUAUAAUACUUUUUAUGCAAGUUCACACACACACACACACAUACACACACACACGCGCAUAUGUAUGUAAAUCUCAUGCUCACAUAUGUGCAUAUACACAAAC
Molecule: long non-coding RNA, 17406 nt
Filed under: Octopus vulgaris (common octopus)
Lineage: Eukaryota; Metazoa; Mollusca; Cephalopoda; Octopoda; Octopodidae
Source: RNAcentral